GACGAACGCUGGCGGCGUGCUUAACACAUGCAAGUCGUACGGUAAGGCCCUUUCGGGGGUACACGAGUGGCGAACGGGUGAGUAACACGUGAGUAACCUGCCCACAACUUUGGGAUAACGCUAGGAAACUGGUGCUAAUACUGGAUAUGUGCUCCUGCUGCAUGGUGGGGGUUGGAAAGCUCCGGCGGUUGUGGAUGGACUCGCGGCCUAUCAGCUUGUUGGUGGGGUAGUGGCCUACCAAGGCGGCGACGGGUAGCCGGCCUGAGAGGAUGACCGGCCACAUUGGGACUGAGAUACGGCCCAGACUCCUACGGGAGGCAGCAGUGGGGAAUAUUGCACAAUGGGCGCAAGCCGGAUGCAGCAACGCCGCGUGCGGGAUGACGGCCUUCGGGUUGUAAACCGCUUUCAGCAGGGACGAAGCUUUUUGUGACGGUACCUGCAGAAGAAGCACCGGCUAACUACGUG
This 465-nucleotide ribosomal RNA is filed under the name uncultured bacterium. RNAcentral's name for it is "partial 16S ribosomal RNA". It matches the Rfam family "Bacterial small subunit ribosomal RNA", at positions 28 to 507 of the family's 1533-position model. The record is from RNAcentral.